CCUACGGGAGGCAGCAGUGGGGAAUAUUGGACAAUGGAGGAGACUCUGAUCCAGCAAUUCUGUGUGCACGAAGAAGGUUUUCGGAUUGUAAAGUGCUUUCAGUGGGGAAGAAGGAAGUGACGGUACCCACAGAAGAAGCGACGGCUAAAUACGUGCCAGCAGCCGCGGUAAUACGUAUGUCGCGAGCGUUAUCCGGAAUUAUUGGGCAUAAAGGGCAUCUAGGCGGACGAUCAAGUCAGGGGUGAAAACUUGCGGCUCAACUGUAAGCUUGCCUUUGAAACUGAUUGUCUAGAGUAUUGGAAAGGUGGGCGGAACUACACGAGUAGAGGUGAAAUUCGUAGAUAUGUGUAGGAAUGCCGAUGAUGAAGAUAGCUCACUGGACGAUAACUGACGCUGAAGUGC
This 402-nucleotide ribosomal RNA is filed under the name uncultured Prevotella sp. RNAcentral's name for it is "bacterial SSU rRNA". It matches the Rfam family "Bacterial small subunit ribosomal RNA", at positions 338 to 754 of the family's 1533-position model. Lineage: Bacteria; Pseudomonadati; Bacteroidota; Bacteroidia; Bacteroidales; Prevotellaceae. The record is from RNAcentral.